CGCUGCCCGGGCUCGCUGCGUGGUGCUACCGCCCCCGGGCCCGCUGCGCCGCGUCGGAGCCCCAGCAGACUUUGAGAGGCGUGUGCGACAGUGCGCGUCCUCUCCUGCCUCUGGAUGUUUCCUUGGAGCCUCUGGCCUUCGGGAAGACCGCCUGAUGGCCUGGUGUUGGGCCUGAUCACCCCAAAAUUUCAGGCACCCAACGUGGGGCUAUGAAGACCAUGGUAAAGAAAUGCUAGAGUAUAUGGAAAUGAAGGACAUAUCAUCAAAGGACACCCGAGGAUGGCUGAAAGAAGCUUGGUGGGUAAGCUGGGCACUCUGAAGAACCAAGGUAACAAUGGGACAAAAUGAAAGUAAACAUUCUGCUUGUUUAAACUUUCUAAGGCAUUUAUUAUGGAGAGGGGGAGUGAAAGUUAGUA
RNAcentral lists this long non-coding RNA (416 nucleotides) under Homo sapiens (human). RNAcentral describes it as "non-protein coding lnc-RHEX-7:3". The record is from RNAcentral. Lineage: Eukaryota; Metazoa; Chordata; Mammalia; Primates; Hominidae.